RNAcentral lists this ribosomal RNA (253 nucleotides) under uncultured bacterium. RNAcentral describes it as "partial 16S ribosomal RNA". It matches the Rfam family "Bacterial small subunit ribosomal RNA", at positions 524 to 776 of the family's 1533-position model. The record is from RNAcentral.
UACGUAGGGGGCAAGCGUUGUCCGGAAUCAUUGGGCGUAAAAAGCGUGUAGGCGGCCCGGUAAGUCCGCUGUGAAAGUCCAGGGCUCAACCCUGGGAUGCCGGUGGAUACUGUCGGGCUCGAGUCCGGAAGAGGAGUGUGGAAUUCCUGGUGUAGCGGUGAAAUGCGCAGAUAUCAGGAGGAACACCAAUGGCGAAGGCAGCACUCUGGGACGUGACUGACGCUGAGACGCGAAAGCGUGGGGAGCAAACAGG